This 305-nucleotide ribosomal RNA is filed under the name uncultured bacterium. Its description in RNAcentral is "bacterial SSU rRNA". It matches the Rfam family "Bacterial small subunit ribosomal RNA", at positions 333 to 654 of the family's 1533-position model. The record is from RNAcentral.
UUAAUCCUACGGGGCGCAGCAGUGGGGAAUAUUGCACAAUGGGGGGAACCCUGAUGCAGCGACGCCGCGUAGGUGAAGAAGUAUUUCGGUAUGUAAAGCCCUAUCAGCAGGGAAGAAAAAUGACGGUACCUGACUAAGAAGCACCGGCUAAAUACGUGCCAGCAGCCGCGGUAAUACGUAUGGUGCAAGCGUUAUCCGGAUUUACUGGGUGUAAAGGGAGCGCAGGCGGCACGCUAAGCCUGAUGUGAAAACCCGCGGCCCAACCGCGGGAGUGCAUUGGGAACUGGCGGGCUGGAGUACCGGAG